RNAcentral lists this ribosomal RNA (465 nucleotides) under uncultured bacterium. Its description in RNAcentral is "partial 16S ribosomal RNA". It matches the Rfam family "Bacterial small subunit ribosomal RNA", at positions 338 to 795 of the family's 1533-position model. The record is from RNAcentral.
CCUACGGGCGGCAGCAGUGGGGAAUAUUGCGCAAUGGGCGCAAGCCUGACGCAGCAACGCCGCGUGAGGGAAGAAGGUCCUCGGAUCGUAAACCUCUGUCAGCAGGGAAGAAGGAACACUGGGCUACUCAGCAAUAAAUUGCCGGUCCCUGCAAAGGAAGCACCGGCUAACUACGUGCGAGCAGACGCGGUAAUACGGAGGGUGUGAGCGUUAAGCGGAAUUACUGGGCGUAAAGUGCGCGUAGGCGGUAUGACAAGUCAAGGGUGAAAUCCCCGCGCUCAACGUGGGAACUGCGUUUGAAACUGGCAGGCUGGAGGGUGUGAGAGGAUAGUGGAAUUCCAGGUGUAGGAGUGAAAUCCGUAGAUAUCUGGAGGAACAUCAGUGGCGAAGGCGACUAUCUGGCACAUAACUGACGCUGAGGAGCGAAAGCGUGGGGAGCAAACAGGAUUAGAUACCCGAGUAGUC